GAUAUCUGGAUUGUGGCGGCCAAGUGUUCAUAGUUAUGUUGCUUUUUGAUCCUUGGAUGUCGGCUCUUCCUAUAAUUGUGAAGCAGAAUUCACCAAAAUCGAGUUCUUGAAAAGAUGUGUUUUUCA
This 126-nucleotide non-coding RNA is filed under the name Bos indicus (zebu cattle). RNAcentral's name for it is "Eukaryotic large subunit ribosomal RNA". It matches the Rfam family "Eukaryotic large subunit ribosomal RNA", at positions 2825 to 2935 of the family's 3401-position model. The record is from Rfam by way of RNAcentral. Lineage: Eukaryota; Metazoa; Chordata; Mammalia; Artiodactyla; Bovidae.